UACGAAGGGGGCUAGCGUUGCUCGGAAUCACUGGGCGUAAAGCGCACGUAGGCGGGUCUUUAAGUCAGGGGUGAAAUCCCGGAGCUCAACUCCGGAACUGCCUUUGAUACUGGAGAUCUUGAGUCCGGGAGAGGUGAGUGGAACUCCGAGUGUAGAGGUGAAAUUCGUAGAUAUUCGGAAGAACACCAGUGGCGAAGGCGGCUUACUGGUCCGGUUCUGACGCUGAGGCGCGAAAGCGUGGGGAGCAAACAGG
This 253-nucleotide ribosomal RNA is filed under the name uncultured bacterium. RNAcentral's name for it is "partial 16S ribosomal RNA". It matches the Rfam family "Bacterial small subunit ribosomal RNA", at positions 524 to 776 of the family's 1533-position model. The record is from RNAcentral.